Long non-coding RNA from Sinocyclocheilus rhinocerous, 365 nucleotides. RefSeq lists it as uncharacterized. NCBI's taxonomy places the organism in Eukaryota, Metazoa, Chordata, Actinopteri, Cypriniformes, Cyprinidae. The transcript has 3 exons. The record is from RefSeq and is a predicted model, not a curated record.
ACACUAGUGUAGAUUAUACUCAAAGUGGUCAGUAUAUUACAGAUGAGGGCAUAUUCCUAUUCAGCUUUCAGGGCAAGAUCCCUGUGUGUAUCAAAGUUAACAGUGGAUGUUAUGCACGUGUCGAUGACGCUGGUGUGCCCAACUUUGGCCAACAGUUGUACUUUUGCUACAACAACCAACCAGUAGUCUAUAAUUCUGGAAGCAAUGCAUUCAGUCUUAACACAGCAACAAUGUAUGGAAAUGAUACUCAACUGAGUGAAUGUGAGGUGUACAAAGUGGAGCAAAGCUCUGCAGUCAGUACUGAGGAGAAGCCUUGGAGGAACGUUCUGUGGACAGCCGAACGAAGAGACGAGCUCAUGGGAUUG